GCAUCACUUGUUUAGCAGGAGCUGCCUCAGGUCAGUGUGUGCAAGAUGACGACAGCGAGGUGUUGAUUGUCGUAGUUCCACAUUUAGCUCGGAGGAAUCCAGCAGAGGGACCAGGCAAGAACAUUGCAUCCUACAAGGCGAGCCAGUUCGCUGUUAUACAAAGACAAUACAUCCUUCUGCCAUGGCAGGAGGUUCCCCUCACCAGGGUAACCCCAUGGAGGUGACAUCCCCAGCAGUGACCUGAGGAUCGAGUGGGUUGCGUUCGUGCAUAUCUCCUUAGGUAAACAAGCUGCACCACGGAGACUCCACGGACACUAGACUCUCUGUCUCUCAGGCGCAGGAGGCUAACCGCUAAUGGCGCCAGGCUCGCCGCUCUGCACCGAGCGCGAAGCGCCAGUUAUCAUGUUAGCGCCUUCCCUUAUGAUGUACUGACCCCGACGCAUUCGCAUUCGUUUCUCUAUUUUUACACUAGGCGGAGGGAGGGCGGAAGUCACACAGUGGUGUAUCAACUCUGCCCGCUCGUUUGUUCAUUCUGCUCACCAGCGGUUGUCGGUUGGGUUUUGAAUCACCCCAGAGGCUCAGAGCUCUUAUAUACGGAGCGCGUGUCUCGUGAGCACUGUCCCCCUGAAACAAUUUAGCAAAGCGAUUAUGACAAUCACGUGAAACAAACCCAAAAGUAAGGGCAAAAAAGACACCAGAACCUUUAAAGUGCAUCUGUCUUUUUAUUUUAUAUUUGCAAUUUUGAAGUGGAGAUUUAAAAAAAUUGAACAUUGGAUUUAUUUUCUCAACAAACGAUGCUUCUCAAAAUGGCACUGUACCAUACAUAGCUUAAUUUAUACA
Anguilla anguilla (European eel) is the source of this 840-nucleotide long non-coding RNA. RefSeq lists it as uncharacterized. The transcript is spliced from 3 exons. NCBI's taxonomy places the organism in Eukaryota, Metazoa, Chordata, Actinopteri, Anguilliformes, Anguillidae. The record is from RefSeq and is a predicted model, not a curated record.